GCGACCGGCAGAGCGUCCCCCGUGGCUUGCCGCCCCAGGCACGCGCAUGGCGUGCUGGGCCUGGAGCAGCCCCUGUCCAGAGCUGAAGAGUGAAGAAUACCAUCGGUCCCGCAGUGAGACUGAGGAAAAGGAGGCCUGUCACCACCAUUCCUGCCAUCCUGCAUUCCUGGUGUCCAUCAUCCCAGAGGGCCUCCUUUCCAGCGACGAAAUCCAACAGUCGUCUGGACUCCCCAGUGCUCCUCCUCAAAGGCUCUAAAUCAGCCGGAGAGUGGAAGUUCCUGGGCAUCACACCUGAGCCGUAAACUCAAGCACCACCAUCUCGGGGCCAGGCCAGGGCGUGUGCCUUUGAACUCCCUGCUGGGAGACUCUAUGGAUACAAAGGCACAAAGACUGCAGUUUGAAAUUGUAUGAAAACACCACUGCCAUAUGACUCCAGAGGGGAUUCAUGGAGCAAUAAGGAAGCUGUAAACUUGAUGGAAUCCUGGUCAGGAAUAGCAUGAAGGAUCUUGUAAAGCACAGCACCUUCCCUUAAGUACAUUGUAUACAACUAUCAACAAAGGUCAGAUCUGAAUCCAAAUGUCAAGGUUCAGGAAAGUAGUUCCAGUUCAAUAUGCAUGAA
Mauremys mutica (yellowpond turtle) is the source of this 619-nucleotide long non-coding RNA. RefSeq lists it as uncharacterized. The record is from RefSeq and is a predicted model, not a curated record. NCBI's taxonomy places the organism in Eukaryota, Metazoa, Chordata, Testudines, Geoemydidae. The transcript is spliced from 3 exons.